AGAGCGAACGCUGGCGGCAGGCCUAACACAUGCAAGUCGAGCGCCCCGCAAGGGGAGCGGCAGACGGGAGAGUAACAUGUGGGAACGUACCCUUUGGUUCGGAACAACACAGGGAAACUUGUGCUAAUACCGGAUAAGCCCUUACGGGGAAAGAUUUAUUGCCAAAGGAUCGGCCCGCGUCUGAUUAGCUUGUUGGUGAGGUAACGGCUCACCAAGGCUACGAUCAGUAGCUGGUCUGAGAGGAUGAUCAGCCUCACUGGGACUGAGACACGGCCCAGACUCCUACGGGAGGCAGCAGUGGGGAAUAUUGGACAAUGGGCGCAAGCCUGAUCCAGCCAUGCCGCGUGGAUGAUGAAGGCCCUAGGGUUGUAAAGUCCUUUCGACGGGGAAGAUAAUGACGGUACCCGUAGAAGAAGCCCCGGCUAACUUCGUGCCAGCAGCCGC
This 444-nucleotide ribosomal RNA is filed under the name uncultured bacterium. RNAcentral's name for it is "SSU rRNA". It matches the Rfam family "Bacterial small subunit ribosomal RNA", at positions 26 to 518 of the family's 1533-position model. The record is from RNAcentral.